GCAGCCCCAAGAGGCAGCUUGCUGACAGGCCAGGGGCUCUCCCGCCAUGGUUCCCUGCUGUUUCUUUGUGGCCAUGCUGGCCCCUCUGGUUUUAGCCCUGGAACAGUCUCCAGACAUGGUGAUCAAAGAAGGCCAGUCCGUGAAUCUGGAAUGCUCUGAGAAGAAAUCCUCCAGCACAGCUAUGUACUGGUUCAUGCUGCCUCGAGUGAAGAAUUCCAGUCUGACCCAGUUGGUUUAUGCAGCUGAAGGUGCCAAUGCAGUGGUGGAGAAGAGUUUUGAGAGCCAUUUCAAGAGCAGCAAGAUAAAAGGAGACAGUAUCACCCUCUCAAUAGAACAUGCCUUUCUCAAUGACUCUGGCACAUACUACUGUGCUGAGAGUGAACACAGUGGUGAGACUGCUGAGGGAGCUGAGCACAAACCUGUCCCUGCACAAACAGGACCUGCUUUCCACUUGUGGCAGCUGCACGAGACAGGGUGAUCACUUCUCAUUUGCUGCUCUGCUUCCUGGCCUUGCCUUCUUCCUCUUCUCCGAUGCUGACAGUUUAUUUCUCCAGCCUUCUCUCCUUGCUACU
Molecule: non-coding RNA, 572 nt
Organism: Melospiza melodia melodia
Lineage: Eukaryota; Metazoa; Chordata; Aves; Passeriformes; Passerellidae
Source: the annotation of a RefSeq genome assembly